RNAcentral lists this ribosomal RNA (440 nucleotides) under uncultured bacterium. Its description in RNAcentral is "partial 16S ribosomal RNA". It matches the Rfam family "Bacterial small subunit ribosomal RNA", at positions 338 to 795 of the family's 1533-position model. The record is from RNAcentral.
CCUACGGGUGGCUGCAGUGGGGGAUAUUGCACAAUGGGGGGAACCCUGAUGCAGCGAUGCCGCGUGGGUGAAGGAGCACUCCGGCGCGUAAAGCCCUAUCGGCAGGGAAGAAAAUGACAGUACCUGGCCAAGAAGCCCCGGCUAACUACGUGCCAGCAGCCGCGGUAAUACGUAGGGGGCAAGCGUUAUCCGGAUUUACUGGGUGUAAAGGGGGCGCAGGCGGCAUGGCAAGACAGAGGUGAAAGCCCGGGGCCCAACCCCGGGACUGCAUUUGAAACUGCAUGGCUGGAGUGCAGGAGGGGCAAGCGGAAUUCCUAGUGUAGCGGUGAAAUGCGUAGAUAUUAGGAGGAACACCAGUGGCGGAGGCGGCUUACUGGACGGUGACUGACGUUGAGGCUCGAAAGCGUGGGGAGCAAACAGGAUUAGAUACCCGGGUAGUC